GGGCUGUUCACUAUUGGAAUUUGUCAAAAUUUACUUAUCCAUUUAUUCAAAACGUAUUUGAGUGACUUCUACAUGCCCUGCACUGUUCUAAGUGCUGGGGUUAUAGCAACGGACAACACAGUCGAUUCCACGCCCCCUGGAGUCUGCAUUCUCACAUGGAAGAUGGGUAACAAACAGUGGUUAUGACUGCGUCGCAGUGAUGACUGCUGUGAAGUCAAUAAAGCGGACGGAGACAGAGGCUGAAGAUGCAGACUCAGGCGGGAGCCAGUGCUGAGUGCCGGCCUCUGUGCAGUCGGUUAGCUGGCAUGUGGGAUGGACGGGAAAUUCCACAGACAGCAGGUGUGUUUCACAACCUGGGAAUGUCCCCAGGACUAAGAAGCCUGAGUACUCUGCAGGUGUGGGAAAGCUUCAGCGUCGGCCUAAGGGGAGAAUUCCUAUGAGAUUCUCAAACAAGCCUCCAGAAACCAUCCAGCAGUCCUCCGCCUUUUCCAGUUCAGGCUUCCCAUAAACCAGUGUCAGGUCAGAGGUCGUCAUCCCAUUUCCACGUUCAUGGAACACCGUGAGACUUCUCUUCUCUGAGGAAGCAGUUUGGCAGUGGUGAGUAACUGAGGAGUCAGCAAAGCUCUUUUGUUCUCUUACUAUUGAGAUUCUUUCUAAAUCAUGCGCUUUCCUUACUUCUGCCUCAAAAAAGAAAUGUUAAAUUGAGAUGAUGAAAUGGUCUGUGGGUGUUUGAGACCCUUGUAUGCUGUCACAUCUUUGUUUUCACCAGCAUUCAAUCAUCCUUAUCUUCUGAUGUGAGAACGAAAUUAACUGAAGGUGAACCAGCCCCAGAACCUCCUCUGAAGAGUGUCCAUAUCUCUUCGAUAAUGUGCCCCUUUCUCCUAAAACUGGAAUGUGGAAAAUAUAAAUAAAUAAAUAAAUAGAGAAAAGUGUUUUCAAAAUCUGACUGAGCAAAGAUUAUUUAUAGCCCCAGAGUUCAGCGCUGGAUGUAGGCCCUGGAGGUAAUGAACAUAAUAAAAGCUUAAAAACUUUUUAGGCUCAUUUGCUUUUUAAGGAAUCCCAGGCUUGUCUCCCAGAAUCUCCCUCGGAGACUUUCACGGCUUGACUGGAAGUCUAAACUAAACUAAAUUCUGCUACAUGAAGUUGAAGCCUCUUUCUAUUUUUUUCAUACUUAAUGAAGAGGACUUAUUUUAGAUAACUAUUUUUUAAAUAAUGUCAGUAACUGAGUACUUUCUUGAGUUUGUUUAAGCCAAUUCAUCUCUAUGUUCUUAACCAUUUCUCAAAAAUCACCGUCACUUUGUUUUGUCCUCCUACCUGCCGAUUUCAUGCGGGAUCCAGGAGAGUGGUCGUUCGUACGGAAAGAGGUGACUAUUCUCAGUGAAUAGUAUCUGUUGUGACUUGUGAAAGGCCCCAGGAGGUCCCUUAGUUAGAACCAGAUUUCUGAACAGUUCUUAGAGUCUAGCAGUGCUGGGACCGACCAAACCUGAACCAGAUUACAGGAGCUCUCUUAAGGGCAGCUGUUUAUAGUUGCACAGGUUGUGGACUCCACAUCUUUAGGGCACUAUUAACCUUGUAGGUGGCUGCUUUAACUUGGGAAGAAAGCACUGUAGUCCUUGGGCCCAGAAAGAAGGCCAUUGAGACAGAACAGAACCAAGCAGGUGCAGUUCUCAGCACGUGAGCACGUGCCCUUCAGCUACACUGGCGGUGUCCCCUGGGGAAAAGGAGAUUGGGAACCUACAGGAUCUGCUUGUGCAAAGCAGUCCCCUUGGAGCACGGGUGAGCAGGUGACUCGGUAAACUGUACCGUCUCUGGACGGCUUGUCCACAUGGCCCCACAGAUGCCCCUAUGGACCAUCUCCUCAUGCUCCAGUCCCUCCAAACAGCUCAUCAAUCCUGGGACAGAGACGUCUGCAGGCAGAAGGCGUCUUUACUCAUGGCUUCCGGCAACAGAUGGGGAGGUGAGUGGGUUAAUUUAUGACUAAGAACCUGACCACGUGUCGGCGUGGAAUUCAAGACUGUUCUGUGAGCUGAAUCUGAGUCUCGCAUGCUGCUCACACCUACAGAUUAAACGUCCCAUGCAAGGAACUCAAGGGUCACAGAGAACAAAAUCCCCUAGAAGGAAACAGCGGCUUUCCUCAGCCACAGUGUCCAGCCUCUUGUAACCCUUAGACGGUGAUCUGGCUCCGAGCUUUCUUACAACCAGGAGACGAUGGUGGCUCUUCAGCUUUUGGUUUUUGACCAAAGAAAACAUAGCAAUUUAUCUGGAAUGAAAACAUAUUCCUAAAUUGAAAUGGCGGCAAGAAUCUAGCACAUGGCCAGCAGCAUCACAGGCCUUACAGGGUCUAAAAGCAUCUCAUUCUUCCACGUGAGAACUGGUGCUUAGAGAAAGUAGUUAAUGAUAAGUCCCAAUCUUGGAACAAAACAAACACAACAGAAGAAGAGUGACAAGAUUGUGGAAAUGGGUUUCCUAGUUAGCACGAUGCUGGGAGAGUGGACUCGGAACCCUGAUCUCUCCUCAUAGACCCCCAAACCCUCUUAAAAUACUUGAUGAAAAAUGGUUAGGAUGUUGGUUAUUUUGUACAACAUGUAUAUAAGGUAGAAAACAAUUAAUUAUUAGGCACAUAACCUCUACAUUUAAGUGACUAAUAAGAGAUUUUCUGUAAAAGCCUAAAACUGUUAAGAGGCCAAUGUGCAGAGUAGUAACACGUAAAGGACUAGAGAUGAGGAAGACCACCCCCGCUUUGCAGGAGGAGAAAAUUGGAAAUUCAGAAUUAGUGUCACUCAGAAUGAGACUGAGAGCAAAUGAGAUUCUCCAAAUAAAGUCUUCAUUGGAAUAAACACGUCUGAAUUGCACACAACUGCCUCCACGUGGCUGCAGGUGUGAGCUAGGGAGCAUCACAAAGACUCAGAGGACGGGACCCCCACAGCAGCCAUUUCAGGGGAGGUCAGACUGCAGGAAGAGCAAGAGAAGAGACAGAGGGAGGAGCAGAGACGGGAUGAGAGGGGAGCCAGAGAAACAGCCCGCAUUCUGUGGACUCACAUAAGGGCCCACUGGCACAUAGGGACCCCGCCUCCUCGGCUGAGGAGCAUUUCCUGCUGUUAAAGAACGUUGCCCCGGGAGGAGAACAGUGAGAACAGCGGUCUAUGACGUCUGAAGAUGAAUGAGCUCUCAGCUAAAGCAGAGUGCUUUUUUCUGGAUCUUACUUUCAGAUUUCCUCUGAUUUUUAACAAAAACUUGAGUUCUCUCAGAAAAGAUAUUUAAACCUCAUAAUUUUCAUGAAUGGAGAUAAAUGGGAAAAUCUUGGAAGGAUUAGUAUGAACUGAGCACAUAUUUUUAUAAUUAUCUGAUGAAAAAGUCCUUCUCUGACGAGUGCCUUUCCCAGACUCACACAUCCACACCUUAAUCUCAGGCUGAGAACCAGUAGAGGAGCCAGGAAGCUUGCACAGGCCCUUAUCUGAGGACCUGACCCAGCUGGCCCUGCAGUUCACAACUCCCUCCUCACGGUCCUCGGGGUCACAGGAGGGCCCAGUGGAAAUUCAGAAAGAAGAGGAUCAAAGAACCCACUGAGCCAAGGGCAGAGGAAACAGUUUACAGGAAAUCUGUGACCAGGCCGAUGUUCUUGUCUACCCUGCACAGUCACGAGAUCGAUGUUCUUGUCUACCCUGCACAGUCAUGAGGGUGAUGUUCUUGUCUACCCUGCACAGUCACGAGGGCGAUGUUCUUGUCUACACUGCACAGUCACGAGGCCCAUGUUCUUGUCUACACUCCACAGUCACGAGGCCCAUGUUCUUGUCUACCCUGCACAGUCACGAGGGCGAUGUUCACUGGACAAGUUGCUGAUCACUGGACAAGUAUUUCUAAUAAGUGUAAACAUAAUUCCUAUGAAACCCUUUAAUACGACAGUACUCCUCUGGGCAAGCAAGCAGAUGAAAGAAAAAUAUUCUGAUCCUUUAAAAUUGUGCAGAAGAAUUUUCCUUGACAAUGACUGAAUUAAAUGUGUUGUUUCUCACACAGUUGUGUUUCUUCGUAAAUGUGACCCCAAGAAGGAAAGUGUUUGAUGUUGUGGUUUCAGGAUCAAAAUCAGCAAUUUGAGUGUGGCUCUCAUUCCAGCAAAGCAUCAGGACGUUUACUGUGAAUCCACAACUUGUGAAGAGCCACAAGAUCAAAACUUCAGAGCAGGUUAGAUUAGCUCAUGCUCUUUAAAGUUGGCACAAAUACAGGCUGAGGUUACUGUGCCAUGUGAGACGAAAUGCAGAAAGCAGUAAAUCUGCCUUUAAAAAAGCACAAUUUCCAGUUGUUUUAUGCCUCACACCUACUCUUGCAAGAGACGUUGCAUGAGCAAAGCAUGGGAGCAGACCCCUCUGCAUUUAUUCCUCAAGAAACAGAUUCAGCGGCCCUCAGUCAGGUCCACUUGAAGAAGUGGGCAUCUGAGCUCUUGGGCCUACAGAGGUGCUCCUUUACUCCCUGAUUUUUGGAAGCCAGAAAUUUGGAAAGGAUGGAUCAUAAACAGCUGUCCUAAGGCUGUUUUCAAAUAACCUACUCAAACUGUUUUGUUAAAGAAAAACUGAAGGAACGCUUAAUCAGGAGGAUCUAGGUGUCCAAGGAGACCUCAGGAGGAUUGGAACCAAGAAGAGGGAAGCCACCAGGAUCAGACACCACCGUCCAGGUGAAUCUUGUUCUUGGGGCCAUGUGCUUGCCCAUCUGCACUUCCCUUUGCUGAUUCACUUUGUCUCCAGGUGUAGACGGCCAACACGGCCAUCCAGCCCUUCCUCCGUCAUUUCCUGACUCAGAGCCCAGCAGAGACUGCUUCUGUGCCCUUGAUUGGCUCAGGUUGUCAGGUUCAUCCCAGGUGAUGGGCAAAGGCUUGGGUUAUGGAAAUUCAACAUGGUUUCCUGGGCUCAUCCUUGGCUUGGUGGGUGAAUUAUUUCCAGAGUAGGCUGGAGAGCCAACCAAAAAACACGUGAACCACAACACUAGGUAGGUUCCUGCCUCACAGUAAAUCCCCAGCCAGCUACCAUGUGACCCUGUCUUCUCAAGUCAAACACUUUAGAAAGUGCCCCAAUAUUAACUGCCACUCAUAGUUUGCAGAGGACGCCAUUUCCCUUGUGUAGAUAAAAAGAUACCCUCAAAGUUAACGCACAGAGUUGCGGCCCCCUAUUGGAGCAAUGCCUAUUUCAGAAAAGCCCCUCUGGCUCCUCUUGUUUUGCGUUUCAGCACUGCAGCAGACGGUGUACACUGAAGUGACAGGGACAGCCAGAGAUGUCCUCUCCCCUCCCAAGGGCGGAUUGUUGUUAGGAGGCAGCUGUCCAGCGAGGGGCGGCGUGUCCCAAGCCCCUCUGCGUCUGGGUAGGAUUGGACCCUGGUUCUUAUCAGUGGUGACACAGUGCCACCCUGAAAGCCACUUGUUAAAGAUGACAAAUCCUCUGUUACUCUGGGUCCCUGAGUGCCUGUGUGGACCAGGGACAUUGAGAAAGGAAUUCUGUUCAAGACAAUACCUUAAUCUGUGCUUAGAAUUUUUUUUUCUCCAAUCCAAAAAAAGAGCCUUAACGUACAUUUACAAAGGUGGGCGAGCUUUUCUCUCUAAGGAACAGCAUCACACAGGACCAGAUCAGGUAAACCAACUGCAGGAAGAACCUCCUAGGACGUAGACUGAAAACCAGAAAGCCAGGGGGAUAAAACAGCGUUUUUCUCUCUCGUGAGUAUGAGAGUUCUCAUUUCUGUUUCUCUUGGGAUUUCUGUGCUCACUCUCUUUGUCUCUCUCUCCAUCAUUUCUCUGCUGAACCAGGUACCCGGCAAAGAUGAUGACGUGUCAUAGCACCAGAGUUCAAGCAAAAUCAAAUCAAGAGUGAUUUUAGAUACCUGGCAGGAGACCCUGAUGGGUCCAGUUAGUCAAGGGUGCCACACAGGAUCAUCAGUAUGGACCCAGGUCCUCCAUCCUGCCCACGUGGUCUCAGGGGUGAGAGGAGGGGUGGGGUGUGGACCAGAAGAUCCGAAGAGGAGGUGUCACAGGGAUUUCCUCCCACAGCCACACACAGUACUGACUUGUCACCUGCAGCUGCUCAGCCUCUGCAGUCUUACUCUUCCAUGUUCCACUCUCCAUCGCAGCUUAUCUCCCCAGCUCCUUCGCCUCCCCUUACGCCAUCACGUGCUCUUCAAAUCCAUCACAUCUGUGGAUACGUGACCUUCGCUUCCUCCCUCCAUCGUCUCCUCCCACCACAUCUCUUGUUCAAACCCACAAAUUCUCACUCCCUGGGUGUAAAAAACUACACAUGACAACUGUGAAUUAACUCAACCAUCAUCUUUCUCUGCUUUACAGCUGGACUUCUGAGCACGGCCAGAAAACGUCCCCGAAGCAAACGCAUUGUUUAAAGUUUAAAACUGCAGCAAGACUUGAACCCUGCUGGACAAUCCAGUGCCUUCUCCUCGCUCACACCCCUUCCCCACGCCAACCUUCCAGCCUCUGCUCAGGCCUCCCACUGCAGGGAACCUCCUCCUCGCUGCAGGGGAAUCUCUCACGUAGACAUUGGCUCACGUCAUUCCCCUUGUUUAGAAGAGUCUAAGGACUUCUCCACGUUGGUCCACAAAGUCAAAGCUCCUCAGCAUUUUGUACAACAUCCUUCCGGGAGUGGCCCCUCUCACCUCCGGUUACACCCACAUCCCUGAUGCACCCCAUAUUCCAGCCACGGCAGUGACUGAGACCUCAGGCUGCACCAGGCUCCCUCAUGCCACUGUCGCUGCACAGCCCACUUCAAACCUCAGCAUGUCACCUUCUCCUUGUCCCAUGUGGCAAGCUCCUCACCUCUCUCUUCAGGGCAGGUGUGGCCUCCUCCGGGAAGCUCACCUGCCUCCCUCUCCUCCCACACACGCCUCACCUGUGGGCCAGCUCACCGAGUUUACGUCUCUGCUCCCUCCCGAGCCCCAGUCCCACAGUCUGUACUUCAGAGUGGAGAUUCUGUCUCAAAAACUGAAAGUUGCAGCUGCCCCAUGAUAAACAUUCAAUAAGCGUUUCUAGAAUGAAUGGACAGAUGGGUUUUCCACUUGAAGAACAGGACAUUCCGUUUAGCAGUUGGGGGAUGGGGAGGCAAGCAGGGUGCUGACUACUCAGUAUACAAGAUUCCACUCUCCUGUCUGGUAAGAUCACUAAAACCAACAACAAAAACUCUCAAUCUGCUUAAAAGAAGAACGUCUAUCCCUCGAGUUAAUCACCUUCAACAGUGUUUUAUGGAAAACACCAGCGUCACACGAGGCUGACGUGGUGGCGUCCUCCCUCUGCUCUCCAUUCCCAAUAAGGAGAUAAGGGGGACGCGCUGACAUUUCAACUGGGUGGAAACCAACCUCCAGAGAUGGAGAUUUCCAGGCUGGCAGGCUUUUCUGCCACCUCCGAAGGGUGCUAACAGCUGAGAGAGAUGGUGUUGCCCAGAGCAGGAUGGAGAGGCACCAAGUCAGCUGGAAAGGCAGCCGGGGUCCAGGGUUUCACCAGCACCUGGGGGACCAGCCCUGUGGCAGUCCUACGAGAUCCAAUUCUCUGGAUGAGGAGCCCAGGAAGAUGAAUUUUAACAGGUUUCUCCAAUGCUUCUUUGGCCCCUUAACCUGUGGGCACAACUGACUCAGACGGGACUCUCCCCAGAGCUGCCCAGGGAGAGGGAAGUGUCCCGUGGAGAUGGGCAUACGAGGCCUAGCAAACCGAGACCCUUUUCAACUGUCAGGUCAGGAGCCCUGCUUCCUCGUUUUGACUCCAUGCUCACUAAGCACCCUCUGGCGGUUCAGUCUCCAUGAGGCAGAUCUGCUGGGGGAGACUGUGCAGGGACAGCCAACAUGGACUUCUGUUCUUUCAGAAAUGUUGCUUCUCAUUGCAAGAUAACACACUGUCACGGUUGUUCUGUUGUUCUGUUGCCCACCAGGAGACGUUUGGCAGUGUCCAGUGGCAUUUUUGUUUGUCACAAUCGGGAGAUGCCACUGGUAUCUAGAGUGUAGAGGCCAGAGAUGCUGUUAACAUUUUACGAUGCACACAAUAGCUCCCUACGAAAAGAAUUAUGGUGGCGGGUAUAUAUGGGAACAGUCUGUACUCUCUGCUCCAUUUUGCUGUAAAUCUAAAACUGCUGUAAAAAACAAAGUCUAUUGUCUAAAAGAGGGAAUCAUGUAGCGCAGAAUGCCAACAGUAUCGAGGCUGGGAAACCCUGCCCUGAAGGAAGCCGCAGAAGUGCUUCCCUACUCCUGACCCUACGCUCACUUCCCUAACGAGGCCCACUGGCUUUUGUGAGGAACAGCAAUUUUGCAUAGAAAUGCUUCCAAGUGAGCUCAGAUGUACAUCUCUGUCUCUCUUCUUGUUCAAGUCAGAAGAUAAUGUUGUAACUGAGUAACAUAUGCUCUGCAGCGUCACCCUCACGAGGAAGCCACUUAGCUAUACUGCAAAUACGACCCAUGCUGAGGCGAGAAUUGCAUUCCCUUUUGAAAGACACACCUAUGUCAACAGAGGUAGACUAAAUUAGAAGCAUGAGAUGUUAACGCCACAGCAAUGUGGUCUUGGAAUCUGGUGUGAGGAUGACCCACUUUGGGGGGUUUUCGUUUUGGUUUCCAGAAUCUCUGUGUCUCCCUCAGCACAUGGGCCUCCCACACCCACACAUCUUGUGAGCCAUAUGGCACUCUUCUGGAACGACUUUCAUUUGAUUUUCAUUCUCCUUUCCUUAGAAUAUUUCUUUUAUUCUCAUUCUGUCAGGAUGUGCUGAGGCCCUUGGGGAAGGGUCUUUGUUCAAAUUCUCUGCUUGCUGGUAGUGACCUUUACAAUUCCACUCGCACCUCUGCCUGAAGCCCCAGCGAAACCGGAAAACCAGAAUGUAACCCUGCUGGCGAAGUUUGGAGAAGGAAUUUUAUACAACUUCUGUGGAUUUGGAGAAAUGGAAGAACCCACUCUUCUUUUGGGGUCAGGAUGUCAAUAAUUAUCUUAUGUGAAAAAUUCACAGAUUUCUUUUGUGUGGUGGUAGGUUAGGGUUAGGGAUGUGAGAAGAUAAACGCCACUUCCUGGAGCCACGGAACCACAUACCCCGGGGCCCUCAACAACAUCAGGGACUUGAGUGGUCCAGCAGUAAAGACGAGGGAAAACAGCUAACUGUUUCACCAGGACAAAGCCAGAAGAAUGGUGGAAAGUAACCGUUAGAAUUAAAAGAUGCCGGCAGGACAGCAGGAGAGAAUCAAGAUUAAUUAGGCACAUUGAAGGAGUGGAACUCACUGUACCGAAAGAGAGCCGAGUCACUUCCCCCGACUGUUAGCUCUCCAUCCACCCGUCCUCUGCUUUGGGUGUCGUUGUUCAGCUUCGGGGACACUCAGUGGCCAGUGAGGCUGGGCAGAAGCACUCUGUGCUGUUUGCCUCCACCCUGUGUCAUCCAUGUUUGCUGAAGACCUUCCCACCUCGCAUCUGCCCCAGAAUUCCACCCUUGGUGAACCUCCCAGUAGGGAAAUGGCUUCUCAGGAGAAGUGCAGACAUAGCCAUUGUCUGUGGGAUGACACCUACUCUAAGGUUUAGUAUCUCAGAUUAGGAGAGGGCCUCUCCCAGCCAGUGGUUUGGGAUCACCUGCACGCAGCCAGCGGCCUUUAAGCCAGUUUUGACAUGCUGUUUCAGCCAAAGAAACACAAAUCUGAAAUCCAAAGUCAUUGAAAGCUAUUUAAAUCUCUACGGCAGGGGCUCAACUCCGUGUCCUAGGGGUUCGCGUCUACAUCGCACAGAAAGCACCGUCAAAGACUCGUUCCGCAUCUCUCUCAGACCAUCUCCUCAGGCGUCCAGCAGCUGGGGACUGUUCUUCUCUGUCCCCCAACACUGUCUGCAAACUCAGUUCAUGUUAGACCUCCUCUCAUCUUUCUUGUUUUAAGCUAUUCAUCAAAUGCUCUUUUCCAUCAUAGUCUAGAUUAAUCUAGACUUUCAGAGAAUUUCUCAAAGCUCCUUUCUAUCCGUUACAUGUGUCAACAAAGCCAAAUGCCAGGCACCUGCCAGUCAACGAAGGCUUGCCAUCUUUGAAAGUGAUUUUAUGAAAGCUAAGCUGAACAAAUCCACACUUUUCCUUGCAAAACACAAACUCACAUGCACACAGUAAUAAGGCACUCUGUUCUUCUUAAGGAAAAAAGGGUGUCAAUUUUUACGUCAAAUUACUAAAAGUAUGUCUAUACAGGAUUAGUUUUUUGGUGGCUCAGAGAAGGGAAAAUCCCCUAGAAAGAAUGAUUUCAUCCUAUAAAUAAUAGGUUAUUCUUCGAGAAAGCUCUUGAAAUGUGCUGUCAAAGGCACAGUUUUCUUUCUUAAUGUCUUAAUGGCACUAUUCUCUAGGCAGAGAAAAGGCAUGUCUUCAGGUUACACUCAAAAGGGAUCUGCUUCCCAAUUCUUUGGUGAGUUGACCCUGUGGAUGGUCGGCUCCUCAGGGAGGGGUGCCCAAUGGGGCCUUUGGAGGAUCCAGCUGAAGGCCCUUUUCAACUCAAGACAGUCCUGAACUGAUCAGGACUCUGAAGAUCACGGUCAGCAUCCAUCGUUGGGAGCCAAUUAGCAAGACAUAUUCCUGUGUGCAUGUCUGCAUGUGUGUUUUGUAAAGUAUGGGUUUGUUCACACUUUAUCUUUAAAAUCACAAAAGCCCUCAGUGUUAAACUAAGUAACACAUCCAGGCCUGUAGGAGUUCAGGUAGCUGGACCAUGAAAGCAAGCUGAGCUGGUCCUGGAGAGAGAAGGAGCGACAAGCUGGGCCUUGAAUAAUGAGUCAGGGGAGAACCAAAGGCCUCACCAGGAGCUCUUUUUCACACACUUUCGUUUUUUCUUCAACUUGAAGAAGAAAACCCAAAUAUUAAAAAUUUGUCUUUUUUCUCAUUUUUCUACAUUUUCUACCUAUCAACCCA
This 10868-nucleotide long non-coding RNA is filed under the name Equus caballus (horse). Its description in RNAcentral is "lncRNA (ENSECAG00000048118.1)". Lineage: Eukaryota; Metazoa; Chordata; Mammalia; Perissodactyla; Equidae. The record is from RNAcentral.